AGCAGCAGAAUCAGGAGAAAUGGGACACCCGGGGUUAGAAUGUGGUGGAGGAACUCGAUUGUGACCCAGACACUGGAGAAUUGAACAGCGCCUGUUACAUCACAAAACCAGGGGGCGUUCACCAGCCGAUACCGAGCCGUGAGCAUAAAAUACCAGGAAAUGUUCUUUAAACAGCUCAGCACAGUCACUGCUCCCAGAACCACAGCCGCCGUUUUCUCACUGCAAUAUUUACUUUUCAGCUUCUGGCAACAAAUGGCCACAAACCGAUCAAAGGUGAAAGUGACGGUGAACCAGACAGAGCAGUCAGUGGCUGCAUAAAGCAGGACGGCGUGGAUAUUACACACGGGGACAGAGUCCCUCAGGAAAUAAAACUGUUCCUGAUAAACAAUGGGAAUGUGUCUCAGGAUCAGGUCGAGGAUAAUGACCAGGAGAUCCGCCGCUGCCAUGGCCCCCAGGUAUCUGUGUUAGCUGUCUGGAUACAGAAUUGGCUGGCCAGCAGAAGACAACGAGUGGUAGUGGAAGGAAAAUAUUCUGCCUGGAAGGCUGUGGGCCAUAUAAACAUAUCUUCAAAUCGACCGAGACCAUUUUCUGCUCAGGGUAUGGCUCUGUGUAUGACAGUAGCAAUGAUGCAACGA
Hemiscyllium ocellatum (epaulette shark) is the source of this 635-nucleotide long non-coding RNA. RefSeq lists it as uncharacterized. Lineage: Eukaryota; Metazoa; Chordata; Chondrichthyes; Orectolobiformes; Hemiscylliidae. The record is from RefSeq and is a predicted model, not a curated record. The transcript is spliced from 3 exons.